GGUCCUUUAGCUCAGUUGGUUAGAGCAACGGUCUGUUAAAUCGUAGGUCGUGGGUUCAAGUCUCACAGGGACCGCCA
Molecule: transfer RNA, 77 nt
Filed under: Coprobacillus sp. OF03-2AA
Lineage: Bacteria; Bacillati; Bacillota; Erysipelotrichia; Erysipelotrichales; Coprobacillaceae
Description: tRNA-Asn
Rfam family: tRNA
About the family: Transfer RNA (tRNA) molecules are approximately 80 nucleotides in length. Their secondary structure includes four short double-helical elements and three loops (D, anti-codon, and T loops).
Source: RNAcentral